Long non-coding RNA from Folsomia candida, 935 nucleotides. RefSeq lists it as uncharacterized. The transcript is spliced from 6 exons. The record is from RefSeq and is a predicted model, not a curated record. NCBI's taxonomy places the organism in Eukaryota, Metazoa, Arthropoda, Collembola, Entomobryomorpha, Isotomidae.
GAACCGAAUCCCUUAUCACCGCGCGGCUCGCGGGAUAAGAACUCACUUCUUUGAACGCCGUGUUCUUCGUCUUUCUUAGUUCCUUCAACGUAUCGCACUGGUCCGUGGUACAUUGGGAUUACUGCAAGCUGCCCGAGGCGUGACGCCGCUUUGUAAGCGAAGUUUUCGCUCGAGUUGUUGUGCAAGAUAAUCUUCAUCGUCCCAUAAUGUAAUAAUGAACAACAAACCUGCUGUGGAUAUCAUUGUUGCUGCGGCCAAUCCUGACCUCCCCUUAAUCAAACCAAAGUGGUUGAGGGGCAGUAUAACUUGGAUCCCCGUCUCCACCACACCAACACCGCCACCACUGAUUUCGCCAGAGUUUUGAGAAAAUAGGUCAUAUGCUGCUGAUCCAGGCGUAGCCUUCCUCGGAAACAUUGCCCGUCUAUGACGACGAACAAAGAUAAGUCCGUCAACUGUGUGAGAAAUUAAUAGACAACAAUUUUAGUUAAUUAAUGAAGUAUUGGAAUUUAUUUAUUUUCAGAAUUGAUCCGGUGCUAAUUUGAAGACGCAAAUCUCGGAAUUUUGUCGUAUUGUCGCUGCUGUUGCUGCUGCUGCUGCUGCUGCUACUACUCGCGGCUGGUGAUGCUCGAAGGAAUGAAACAAUCUAUACUGGAGAACGAGCGGAUUCUUUUAUAAGCGGAGGAAUAUAUGCGUUUUCACUUCUCUCAUAUCAAUAUGAAUUCAUGGAAAUCUUGUACGAGAUGCAUCCCAUGUGGACUUCAAUUCGCCUCAGCAAGGCGGUUCGAAAAACACGUUGCGAAUCACAGAAGGCCUUUUAGAUUAUAUAUGUCCGCAUUGCAUGUAUGAGGACAGCGAUAUUUUUGCUGUAAAUAAUCAUAUUUUGACGCACAUAAAAUCUUCUACGACGGCAGCAAGCAGUCGACAGACAGGAUCGA